RNAcentral lists this ribosomal RNA (484 nucleotides) under uncultured bacterium. RNAcentral's name for it is "partial 16S ribosomal RNA". It matches the Rfam family "Bacterial small subunit ribosomal RNA", at positions 30 to 507 of the family's 1533-position model. The record is from RNAcentral.
AUUGAACGCUGGCGGCAGGCCUAACACAUGCAAGUCGAGCGGAUGAAGGGUGCUUGCUCCUGGAUUCAGCGGCGGACGGGUGAGUAAUGCCUAGGAAUCUGCCUGGUAGUGGGGGAUAACGUCCGGAAACGGGCGCUAAUACCGCAUACGUCCUGAGGGAGAAAGUGGGGGAUCUUCGGACCUCACGCUAUCAGAUGAGCCUAGGUCGGAUUAGCUAGUUGGUGGGGUAAAGGCCUACCAAGGCGACGAUCCGUAACUGGUCUGAGAGGAUGAUCAGUCACACUGGAACUGAGACACGGUCCAGACUCCUACGGGAGGCAGCAGUGGGAAAUAUUGGACAAUGGGCGAAAGCCUGAUCCAGCCAUGCCGCGUGUGUGAAGAAGGUCUUCGGAUUGUAAAGCACUUUAAGUUGGGAGGAAGGGCAGUAAGUUAAUACCUUGCUGUUUUGACGUCACCAACUGAAUAAGCACCGGCUAACUUCGUG